RNAcentral lists this unclassified non-coding RNA (337 nucleotides) under soil metagenome. RNAcentral describes it as "partial contains 5.8S ribosomal RNA, internal transcribed spacer 2, and large subunit ribosomal RNA". The stretch from base 1 to 120 matches the Rfam family "5.8S ribosomal RNA", at positions 35 to 154 of the family's 154-position model. The record is from RNAcentral.
GAUGAAGAACGUAGCGAAAUGCGAUAAGUAGUGUGAAUUGCAGAAUUCAGUGAAUCAUCGAAUCUUUGAACGCACAUUGCGCCCCUUGGUAUUCCAUGGGGCAUGCUUGUUCGAGCGUCAUUUGUACUCUCAAGCUCUGCUUGGUGUUGGGUGUUUGUCCUUUCCCUGCGUUAUGACUCGCCUCAAAUUCAUUGGCAGCCGAUAUAUUGGUUUGAAGCGCAGCACAAUUUGCGAUUCGGGCUGGUUAUUGUUGGCGUCCAGUAAGCACAUUUAACACUUUUGACCUCGGAUCAAGUAGGGAUACCCGCUGAACUUAAGCAUAUCAAUAAGCGGAGGA